UACAGAGGUCUCAAGCGUUGUUCGGAAUCACUGGGCGUAAAGGGCGCGUAGGUGGCGGCCCAAGUCCAUGGUGAAAGCUCGAUGCUCAACAUCGAGUCGGCCACGGAUACUGGGUUGCUCGAGCACUGUAGGGGCAGAUGGAAUUCCGGGUGUAGCGGUGGAAUGCGUAGAGAUCCGGAAGAACACCGGUGGCGAAGGCGGCCCGCUGGGCAACUGCUGACACUGAGGCGCGACAGCGUGGGGAGCAAACAGG
Molecule: ribosomal RNA, 253 nt
Filed under: uncultured bacterium
Lineage: Bacteria
Description: partial 16S ribosomal RNA
Rfam family: Bacterial small subunit ribosomal RNA
Source: RNAcentral